CCUCCUUCCAAUCCCCCCUCCGUCCCUCCCUCCCUGCUCACUAACUUCAGACAGUGUUGUGUCCUUCGGAGGGGAAAGAUGACUGCACCUUCAGCAUCACAGCAGGAUGCUGGCGAGCUAUAUUUAGAGCCGGGUCGGAAAGGUAGUGCACAGACAUAAACACAAACUUUAGGAUGUCCAGCUGUGUUGAUACAGCAUCCGAAAAUGGUGGAUCAACCGUGUGAGGCCGAUUUAUUGUUUUGACUGAGCUGUGGGAACCUGCAGCGCUGCUGUUUGCUAAAGGUGUUAAUGGAAAUGCCCCCCCCCCACUACAAACAACGGUCAUCACAAAUAUUCUGUAUUUUCAAACGUAAGGACAUUUUUUGUCGUUUCUGGCGUUAUUUCUGCACCAUUGUAGAACAGUGUUGCAAAGACGACCAAGCCAACCAGACACGUGCGCGUUUCUUCGCUGUUGCAACCUUGUGGCGGCACCCAAAACGCGCCGUCUCCCCCUGUAGAAUCGCCUUAUUUACUCUCCAUCAUAUUACUGUCAGGCUGCAAGCGGCUCCGGUUACCGCCAACGUCCAAGCAAGGAGGCCUCCAGCGCGGGUCAAAGCUCCCAGGCAACCAUUCCUCCUCUUUAAUCAGUGCGAGGCUACGAAUUUGUUCAUAAUUAAUAGGCUUUUGUCAAUUUAUUCAGAGCAGAGAGAAUUUACAAAAACUGUCAUGCUGCUCGCUGGUUUUCACUCUGAAGCACGUGGUUAAAACGAAUCGCUGAGUUCGCCCUCAAAGUGCACACACAGAUCACGGUGCGCUGCUCCGUUAAUGCCGAACGCACCGCCCGACAAUAAGGAGAUUGUUUGUGAGCUUUCAACAUGUUUACCCCCGAUUGAGUCCUGCCACGCGGACGUUUCUCCACCAAUUAGCCGCCUCGUUUCAUAGCAGAGCUGCUGUAGGUGGCAGACGUGGCCAGAAGCGACCUCUUUAAUUUGGCUCGAGAGACGGGUUUGAUCGGCGGUUUUCUCCAUUCACGGUCCAACAAAUUAGAUGUGUGUCAACAAUAUAAUCUCAAUUUCAUUAUUCAUAUAACCACAUGUAAUCCCUUUGUGUCCCUGAGCCGGGGGGGAAUAUAAUCAGAUAUCAGGUUCCACUAUGACACCGAACUAAAACCGUGCAGCCAAUCUUCCAUCUGUUAGGAAAAACCUAUUGUUGAGUCCUGCUCCUCCCCCACCACCAACAAACACCACCCUUCUCUCUCUCUCUCUCUCUCACAUUACAAAAUGACCUUUUUUUGACUUUUACCCCGUUGAUAUUCAAAAGGGAGAAUUAAUAUUUAACGUGAGAAAGGCCGAUCUAUCCAGAUGGCCGCUCAAGUACAGCAAAAACGAGAACAAAACGCAGCAUCAAUAUUUCAGCCGGCCUUACCUCCGGUGUGUGUGUGUGUGUGUGUGUGUGUGUGUCCCCCUGCAGCCAGGAGGAUAUGCACACAUUCACGCAAACACCACGCGUGCACUGAUGGAGCAAUAUGCGUCUUUGCCGUGGCAGCGGGGAGCUCAGGGCCUCGCCGCGGCCUUCAGGUGGGAGACGGGCCGGCUCCGAUAGAGGAGGGCUGACGGGUGGGGGCCCAAGUACACCAUCAAACGUUUUAUCAGACACGAUGGAAACGCCGACUGGCCGGUUUACCCGCCGCCUUUUAGACUGACGUUGACGUUCCCUCUGGCUCCAUCAUCCGUUCCAAAUUUCAAUUUUCCCCAAAUUUUAUUUAUUGAGGUGUGAGUAGGUAAAAAAAAGGACGUGCUGUCAAUAUCUUAACUUUGAACUAAUAUAUUACUGCGAUUAAUCUACCGCAUCAAACAGAAAUGGAUUAUUAAUUAUUAUUAACAGAUUAUUUUGCAUCGCUGGCUUUGAGAGAUUUCCAGGGUUUGCUUGAUUUAAAAGGAUCACUGUAGGUCAAAGAAAAAAGGUGUUUUUUUUUUUUCCCCCCCACAGAAAAUUCUGGUUAUUAGAGCGUUGGCAACGCCCUCGGCUACAAAUGUCUUUGAUUAAAAAAGAUGGGGAGGAGGGGAUCAGCUCUUGGCAAGUUGGUCAUAAUUAAAGCCAGCAUUGUGUAAGGUGUGUGGGUGUGUGCACGCACAGAUGAGGAGGAGGAAGAAGGGAUGGAGGAGAGGGGGUGAGGCUGAAUUAGUGCCCGCUGGUUUGGCCUGGCAGCUGCUCUCUGGCCCUGGCGCGCUGACAGCCUGGCACGGCGGCGGCGGCGGCGUGUUGUCAGGGCCGACCAGCAGACUGUUGGGGAGGCGGCAACGUCAGGCGCACCAAACACACACACACACACACACACACUCUUUCACCACAGAGGGCUUUGUCUUCCCACCAGGACCUGCGUUACUUGUCGUGGCAAUAUCAUUGGAUUAGUACGAGAUUAAGCCGGGUAAUUAAAAAGGGCAAAUGGCAUUCAAGUCGCACGGGACAAUGUGAAUGUCAUCUUAGACUUUUGAGAUUUAACCUUGAUGAAAAAUGGGACCAUUCUGCUUUAUUUAAGCAGUGUUCUAGAAACAACCAGGUGUCCGAGCUCAUCGAAAGCUCUAAAUGUAAAAUGGAACGUGAUCCUCAAAGCGAUGCCAAGCGUUUUGUAGAUUCCUGGAGCCCGAUGGGAUUAUAAUGACGAGAAAUGGAACAAAUAACUGAAAACGUUUUAACCAUGACGUAUUCAAAUUAAAAAAAGCAAUUCAUCUGGCUAUUUCCUGAGCUGCUGAGAGUGUCAUCGGCGUUUAUUGAGUCAUGAACCCCCCCUCGCGUGGCGGGGCCGUGACGGCCUGGGGUUUGGGUGGAUUCUGGGCCCGUCUUGGCCCAGAUGCAGCGUCUUCUGUCCAGGCCCGAUAUCCGUGGGCCCCCGAGAGCGCCAGCUGCUGUCGCCGUGUCGCAGACAGCUGUAUCUGAAUAUUCAUACGGAGCGUGGAUUAAUGUGUGCUCGUUUGGCCCCACAUGGCACCCAGUCGCACGGGCCAAAGUGUGCAAAGGCCCCCAAAAGUCACCGGUCCAAAAGCACGCCGCCACUGCAGCGUGAAUGGAAAGUCCUACGGACCCUCGAAGAGAGAGGGACACGAUGGAGGGACAUAAUCAGGAGUCUUUUUUUGGGGGGGGAGUUUUUCCUGUGCCGAUGGUGGGUUUCGGGACAGAGGAUGUCGUAUGUGUACAGACUGUAAAGCCCUCUGAGACAAAUUUGUUAUUUGCGAUUUUGGGCUAUACAAAAUAAAAUGAAUUUAAUCAGGAAUCAGGAAACAUUUAUUGCCAAAAUAUGUCGUACAUACAAGGAAUUUGACUUGGCGGUUGGUGCGUGACAGUAGACGGUAUAACAAUGGACAACAAGACAGCAGUGCACGAGUAAUAAAAUAAAAUAAAAUGAUAAUUCUAUGGGUUAGUAGAAUAAGGCUAUGGGUUAGUUUAAAAUAAGGGAAAGAUAAAAAUUUAAAAUAUUAAAAAAAAUUAAAAAAUAAAAUCAAACGGAACCGUCGAUUGUUUUCGCUAAUGCUUCAGCUAUCGCUAAGUCCACUUCUGCACAUUCAGAGCCACGGCCACCUUCCACCGCGCCGGCUCAGUCCGCCCCGGCCUUCUUUGGGAUUUGUUCUGGCGGGAGUUCAGGCGGGCGGUUGGUGCAGUAAUCUGCUGGCCGACUGCAAUAGAAUCCGUGAAUGUGUUUUUGAGGCAGAAGUAUAAAACGAGCAGAUGGCCUUUGCUUCCCUGCUUGAAUAGGUAGGAGUGAACCAGUGGGCACGCCGAGGGAGAUUUGUGGGUAAACUGUUUUACCUCCCCUCUCUUUGUGUCGUGUCGGGAAAGGCGAAAUGGUUUGCUGACUGCUGGCGGACAAAGGCCCGGCUCUAAUGAGAGCCAAGUGUUUUGGUGCUGCUGGUGUAAUGGGGAUGAAGUGGGGCAGCUAAUUAUCGCAACCAUCUGAAGGCAUCAGAGGAAGGCCAGCCUGCUUUUCAUGUCCGACGUCACGCAACACGGUCGCUACUGUCCACUAUUUUCUGAUUCACCGCUCGGCGAGUGAAACCACGAGGUGAGCGCGUGCGUUUAGUCUGUUUGUUCAGGCGUGUGUGCUACCGACCUCGCCGACCCUGAGGGCCAGUUAGGCCGACACGAUUACCAGUGACGCACGCUGUAAAACCCGCGGGCCGCGAACGCCUCCAUUCUCACUGAUGGGGAUCUUUGUGGCAGCCAUGUUUGUUUGGUAGAUGUCUCACUGAUUUAUGGAGGAGACGCUGUGUGUGUGUGUGUGUGUGUGUGUGUGUGUGUGUGUGUGUGUGUGUGUGUGCGCGCCACUCGCCCACAGCUGGAUCCCUGUUCGUCUUUUAAUUAACAGCCAUGCUUUUCGAAGACGUUACAUCUUUCUAAUUGAACCCUUGAACAACCUCCAAAACAAGCUGCAUUUUCUUUUCUGAUUGACUAUUGGUUAAUUACAGAGUGGGUUUUAUCCUUGAAUAAGCAGAAUUAGUACACAAUCUCCUCAUCAACAACAGGCUUGCAGUGAUUGCUGAACCGAUGCCCAGAGUCAAACUGGAUGGUGGCGAUGUGGAGUGGACGCGACACAAAAACACCCCAAUUAAAACAAUCAGGGGGCAGAAAUGAGCUUGUUGGAUAAUCAGUACAAGGUCGUGGGAGACAAUGACAUUCUACAAAAGCGAACAUAGAAGUAGUUUGAGUGGAUUUUCCUCUUUGAGAAGUCGGUGCUUUUUUGACUCAUUCUCAUGUACGCAUAAAAAAUACUUUACAUUGUGUAAAUAAAGAUAAGAGCCACACGCUAUUUCAUCUUUUGAGAUUGGUGGCUGCGGAGUGUGGGUGUAACAGAGACCACAGAGCCCUAAAAGGAGACAUUUUUGCCUCAAGUCUCUCAGUUUCCCAUCAUGCCUCUGCGUUUGCUGCCGGUGGCAGCAGGGCCAGAGCACUUUCCCCUCAUUACCAGGGCUCCAGAGGAAAAAGGGAAACAAAAUGGUUUCCAGGUUUUUACUUCAAUCUGAGAAGAGGGAGGGGUGAGAAGUACUGUUUGGGAGGGGAGGGGGGGUCAGCCACAGGUACGCCGGGCUGUGGGAAACCAGGAGUGGGUCGUAGUGACGUGACAUGAUGCAUAUAAAAGAUUUUUUCCUGCCUCAUCCUGCAAACACACACACACACACACACACACAAACGGCAUUUGCUGGUUUGCAUGUUUCACGAGUCAGAUUAUCAGUCGUACAUGAAUCUUUCAUGCAUCGUUCUCGGGUUGUCAACCAGAGUCGGCCAUGAGAACAAUGAGCAUUGUGAUGUCUGACAGUGACAAACUCCCCGCUGUGAGUUACACCGGGGGGGGGGGGGAUGACACCCUUUCAGGGGGAGGGAGGGGUGCAGGCUACAAAAGGGAAAUGACACAAUGUCUAAAUUUCGUUGUGCGACUGAGAAGAUUACAGCACGGCUGUAAGUUUUCGGUAAGAUUUGAGUCAGCGGGUUUUCAUGGCGCCAUGACGUCACUUACAGACGAUGUCAUCUGAUGCCACGUCUUUUACAGUGGAAAAGUAAACGUGUGUCGUAACGUAAAGGCACGUAUUUAACACUCGUUUAAACCGUUCGGCACACUCGGCAGGCAGGACCGUCGAGCAGAACUCCCGCAUUGUCCCCCGGCCGUAUUGUCCGAGGAGGAGCCGCGCUGUCUACGGAGGGUCCCAUUCUCCUUUGUGCCCUGAUAGGUUUACCAGCAGAGAGUCCCUCUCUCCCAAAGGACAAACAGGAAACCCGGCUGAAUGUGGCCCUGAUGCUUAUCGGUCUUUCUCCUGGCUACUGUCGGUGCUUUGGAUGUUGGAUGCCGUUGUUAGGACAGUCCGUGCAUUCAGACUGUUGCCGCGUGGCCUAUACAGCAAAUUAAGAAAAAGAAAAAACAUUUUGGGAGAUCAGAUCUCCUUUUAGUCUGUGAACGAAUAGUUGAUGCACCAACAUUCCCACGGGCCAAUCUGAAAUCUUCCUUUAUUCAUCAUUAUUGCAUUCGGUCGAGAAUCUAAAGCAAAAACAUCCACCUCACACACGUCCCGUCCAACGAAGCUCUGAGCCGACCCAGCAGAGCUGUCGCAUCUUAUUCGUUUGCUUUCUGCAACAGAUACACCCGAAGGACAAGAACAAAAGAGACCCAACACACAUUGUGGGACUUUCAAGUAUUAUCCAUCCCUGGAGAUUUCCAUUUUUGUCCGUAAGGAAAUCAAGAAAUGCACAGCUAAUUCAAAAUGAGACAUGCACCAUUUGCUCCUGUACAAAACUGGAAGCACUGAUACAAUGUGACAAAACCCAAGCAAACGUGCUCGCCUUGGCGUAAACAAUCGAAGCCAGAGAACAAUCCACUCUCUUAUAAGGGAGGCACUUCCUUCUGAUUUCCUCUACACUUGCAGUAAUGUUUUACAGCGGGGGGGGGGGGGUUGUUUUUCUACGGAAUCACGGCCAUUUUUCACGCUUCUGAUGACUGCCAGGGUCCCUUUUCCCCUCGCAGCGCUUCGUUAUGCGCUUCUGUGUGUAUCAGGGGUUGUGUGCUUAAGUUAGCCGAUUCCCAGCAUAGUUCAGCCGUGUACGCACGGGGUAGCGGGGAGCGCCUCGGCUGCAAACGGGACCUUUUGCAGGGGGGGGGGGCUACAGGCGUAUAGUUCGGGGUGGGGGGGGGGGUUGUUCCCAUGUCACAGCUACAGGGCAUCCUGAUGCUGCAGGGCCAACUUUGCCUGCGUGUUUUUAUUCUCUGGCGGCUCUGACUCUUCGGAGACCUUUUGACCCCCGGUCCCGAUCUGCUCACUGUCAAUCUCAAUAUCCCCGGCGGUCAUUCCCGUCCAUGGGAACAUUGGCUGUGACAGUAGGACUCCCCCCCGAGGGGAUGCAACAGGGUAUAGAUCCCGACCGAAAAUCCCAGCGACGCCAGAGACGCAUAGUAGGCAUAGCUGAAAAAGAUUCAACUCCCUGCCGGCCUGCGCCUCCCCGCAUGGACCAGGGAGUAGAAGGAUCUGUCAACUCUUCCCAGAAUAGGUCGCUGCAGCGGCAGCUGGAUGAUAUAGGUGAGAGCGUGGCGGCUGAUUAAGGGCCAGGAUGUGCGUGAGACAUCCUCUGAACUUCAGGAAUUCCCUCAUUAAAGCAGAGCGUGUUGAUGCUCAGUGGGAAUCAGCCUGCGGAAUCAACAGGGGAGGUUCUUCCGGCAAUUUUAAACAAACACACUUUUCAUUUAACCAAAUGCACCGUUCCCUUUGUAGUCGGAACUAGAACUUGGUUAGAACGUUUUGCAAUACACGGAACAUUUUCUCCAUUUAGUUAUUACAUAUAACAACCUCUUGCCGUUCAUCAGCUUGUCACAGUGAUGAAUAUGGAAAUACCAAGGUACUGGCGUGGCAUCAAGCGUAAACAGUCAAAUUAGAAAUUCUUCGAGUUGGCCAGUAGUUAAAUGCUCUGGGUAAUAUAUUUUUUUUAAUAGCCCGAAUUGCAGCAAUUACAGAGACCAUUAACGUAUCUGUUCAGUGUACGGUUCAGUGCCGGGGCCACAUCAGGGCCCUCGUUCUGUUGUUGUCUUUUAUCCUCCCCCCCCCCCUCUCCCCAUGUCCGACAAAUCGUUUCCAGCUAAUUUACGGUGGCCAAACCGCGGGAGAACAAUACCCCGCGGACGCGACGCGACGCAACUUCUACCACAUGUCCCAGAGACGAUCGAGGUGCUCGGGGGAAACACUUGCUGAGAUAACAAGAUAGUAAGGAGAGAGAAGGAGGGCGGCUUGUCUGUGGAGGAAAAUGUCCAUCAGGAGGGUGUCGCUAAAGACUAAUGUUGCACCAAAACUGUGAGAAAGAUGUUUACUGUUUUACAAAGUCAUAACCGAUGUGAAAUGCUUCCACGCGUGAGCCGAAGCCUUUCCAGGACACUUUGAUCUCCACCAACAUUAUAGUACAACAAGGGUAUGAACCCAAAAACCAAAGUGUUUGUCUCUGUCGCAGGCACACAAUGCUCAGCUCGGCCCUCCUGGGGAGAACAAACAUUUAACAAAACACCUUAGAUGCACAUCUGCAGAGGUUGAUUUGACUUAGAUAAUCAUUUUUGCAUCUCAUGCGCGCUACAAUUACAGACGGCACCUGUGCCUGGCCCACCUGCCGCCAUCUCCAUGCCAGGCAGCAAUUUAAUUGUAAUUAUAUCAACGGGGGGGGGAAAGGAAACAUCCAGCAGCAAUUCAAUUCAAUAACUUUGCUCUUAGAAAUGCUGUUGUGUAGUGCAGAGAAGCACCGUCUCCCCAGAUCGGGGUUUAGAUCUGGCCAGCUGGGUCAGCGUUGAGCAAUACAGGUGACGCGGGAUCAAGGCUCAAGGAUCAUUCGGGCUAAUUGAUGAGCUUACUUGUUUUCUCAGAGUCUAAGUAUAGGCACGAGGGGGAGGAAGACGGCCUUCAAGGCCGCCCUGUUUGUGCUGUGAGGGCAGGAGUGAGAGGUCAGGCAGGACUUUUUAAGUUUUUAGCGUGUUAAACCAAUCCCCCUGUCGAGGUUCUCCUCCACACGCUCAUUCCGGUGGGAAAGGAGGAACGGCGAAGUGGCGAGCCCUCUUAAGAUCAAUGAACGCGGUGGAAAAAGGAGUGGCCCGGGGGCAGCCAAUGGCGGCCUUGCGACGGGGGGAGCCGCGGGGGAGACUAUGUAAACAAGGAAACAACCUGAUGUGAGCGGGGUCGCUUGAAUGCCCGGGCCCUCCGCACAGGCAGGUGCUUCCUGAGUCUCUGCUCUCUCAAUCAGUCGAGUAUAACUCACAACACCACGGCGAGGUUCAAGGCGGCCGGUGGAAGUAAAGGCAAACGCGCGGUGAAACGCCGCCUGGAAGGCUCUCGAAAGUGAUGCCGAUUGUUCAGGCAGUAGAGAUGAGAGCCCCUCGCUGUCAAACAUACGGUGCACAAGCGUAAACGUGUCUUGCGGAGGGGUCUCGCACCACAGAUAAAGGCAGUCAGGUGACGGCGGCCGAUCGCAGAGGACACCUGAACGUCUCUUCAAAUGCAAUCUCACCGCUCCUACUGCUCUCGCAUUGUCUCUCCUUUCUUCUCAGCUCUGUUGGUUGGUCUGGGAUUGUUUUGUGCUGUCCAAUGAGGAAGGAAGUCGGUGUGAGAAAGUGCCUGUUUUUUUGGGACCAACAGGAAUUGGCCUCAUCACAAGCGGUUCCUUUUUUUGCUGCUGGAACAAUGCACUGGCGUCACACCCCUCGACUGAACCUCGGCAUUUCACAUGGAAAAAUGUUCCCAGAAUUCCGCUCCCAGGCUCGGGGUAAGGCCGAGGAUGGGGCGAGGGCGAGAGGGCGGGAGGUGGAGGGCGGAGGCUAACGACAAAAAAAAAAGUGACCAGUGGACACUUGUCACCACCACAACCAGGGAGAGCAAAGACGGCUUUCCAUUACACACCACACAAUAAAUUCACAAUAAAUUCACACUAAAUUCUAGCUUUCUAUUUUCAACGAAGCCCAACAAAAUAAGAUAAUGAUCACAUAGACACAUGUCAGGUUAAUGUGCCUGAGCGCAAUAGAAUGAGUAACUGUUAGCCUGUUAGCCUGUGCUAUUGCUAUGCUAUUCCUGCUAUCGCAGCCCGGUUAAUAGUUAGACAACAUUUAGUUUUGCUCAAAUAUUGUGGCAGUCUCUGGAGUACCACUGCUGAGAUGCAUUAUCGUUUCCUUUAUUGCAAAAAAACAACUUUGUCUUGAUGAUACAUCGUGAAAACCUGCACAACUACAUACAUGUAAUGUAGUUAGCAUCGCUGUAUUGCACUGCGCCGUGUUUUUGCUCUGCAGUGUGGCUGCAAGGACCAACAACUGUUAAAAUGUGCUGGGUCAACACUUAUACUAUCAGCGUCAUUCAUCACCCCGGCUAAUAAAUCAUCGCGUAGUGUAUGAGAACACAAACUCUGAACAGAAAGAUUAAUAUGCAUGGAACAGUUAACAAUUUAUCUUAAUCCAUUACCAAGUGCGCCAAAGAAAACAUAAGACGUCCUGAUGUGCGCAUCUAGGAGCGACGUAACGGGUAGCGUUAUUUCAGCACUUCGCGAGGGGUCGUCCCUUUCACACGUUCAUUAUCCAGGGCUUUUUCCUCAUAAGACUGAAAGCUGUUUAAAAUGUGAACAUAUCGCUGUUUUUUAAGUGUGAACAGGAGAGCACAGAGUUCUUGAGAGAUGUCAAAUAUUGGACAGAGACAUGAAAAUUGGCCAUGAGAGCCAAGUCCGAGGGGUAACAACCGGGGUAACUUGGGACUUGCGGGUCAAGUUGGAGAAACACUCCACGGCUAUUAGGCACGGCGGCGAGUGAGCUCCCCCCGGGGCCCCCGGUGGGCCAGCUUCACAAAUAAGACCGAGCGCUUCCCCGCCGCACUGCGCUGGUUAGAGUCCGUGAGAACGCAUCCGUCAGCGUGAACACGCAGCCCUUCGCCGCGGUGUCACCGGCGAAGAACCAACCUCAACGAGCCGCUGCUGGACCAACAGGGCCGCGGCGGACUCCUCGCCACCGGGCUCCCGCUGAGAGAACUAAUCAAAGCCUGUUGUCUCAGCACGGACAGAGGCCUAAGUGAUGUCAAACACGGGGUGGGUCCCAUUCGCUCGGCGGCCGCAGAAACACAAACUAUCCGUGCAAACGUACAUCUUCCAUCUGUGCUUUACACCGCUGUUAAUACCACGGCGUCGGGGGUUGACUCGGGUAACAAUCGCUCCGCACAAAAGGAUCUGCAUCUGCUGUUUAUCCUGCAGAGUGGAGAUGGCUUUGUGUGUACACAGUGAGUAGUUAUGGGGUCAACUGCAGUUCAAGCCAGCUAAAUGGAAUACAAACAAAAGGUCAAUUCGGCGGGGUGGGGAAAAGGCGGGUUCGUGAGAUUGCUCUCACCUUCGCGCGCGCACACGCGUGCUCGCGCAUUAAACGAAACGGGCAACGGCAGCACAGCAAAGUCCCAGGAGCCGCUCGUGUGCAGACCAAAUGGAAAAGGGACAAAUAGGAUUUUCAAAUCGUGAGAGGAAAUAACAACAGACCCCGCCGAAAAUACCUCUAGAUCCGUCUGUAUAAAUAAACAAUAAUAUAGUGUCCUGUGCUAUAGAGGCCAUGUGCCCCCCGGUCAGGAAGUGCAGGAAGAAAAAGCAGAUAAGAGAUUAUUAAGUCUCUGGAUAAUUGAACCGGGGUCAAAACCCAGCAUCUAACAGCAUGAGAUGCUGCGGUGAAAUUACUAGAUGAUUGUCAUGAUUAUGCUGUUUACUGAUUAUGUUGAACUUCCCCUGGUGACACCGAGGCUUCAUAGUCAGGCUGAUCUUCCUGAUGGAUUAUCUGCAAUGGUGCUUUUAACAGUCCCGUUUCACACCAGCGCUCGCUUUCAUGUCCCCCGUUUAUCUCUUUCCUUUUCCUGCGGCGAGGUUCUCUCUUGAUGCUUUGGAUCUGGCAAGAAAGACAGCGGCUUCUUCCAGCGACACCCGAUUAGCCUGGUAAUCACUCAAAAGCUCGCUGGGACACACGUUUGGAUCGAGAGGCAGAAGUGGGCUCGCUUACAUGUCCUUGCUGACCGUGUGUCCAAGGGUGGAGCUGGUCUGAUCAAUAUCAACUAUUGAAGGGGUGGCGGUGCGAUGUGCUGCUGUCUCUUGGCCCUCCGGCCCACCGACAGCUGUUGCACAUGUGGCCCUCAGAUCACCCGCAUGAUUUAUGCGAGCAAGAGUCUUUCAAAAACGUGUCUUUUCCUGUAAAAAUACUCCUCAGUCUACCAACGUUUACACGAUCACAUCACCCACCAGACGUCUCCUCGGUCGCUGCACUCGGGCGCAGGUGUGACGUUUGGAAACAGCGGUUUCAGUGGCGGAAUUGUGUUGUUGGUUCCAUUGUGAGGGUGGAGGAGUACCGACAUGGUACUUGUUUUGUCAAUAGCACAGCAAGAGGGUGGCUGGAAAGUUCCGCUGCAGACCAGGACUCUUGUUAAAAGGCAACCAUGACGUUGGGUUGCCUGACGUCAGCUGAAGGUUCAAACUGACUGUAAACACGCAUCCAUACGAUGCCAAUCAGAAAUCCCUUUGAGGUCCAAGAUGGGUCCAUUUGGUAAUAUAUAUAUAUAUACAUAUAUAUAUAUAUAUAUAUAUAUAUAUAUAUAUAUAUAUAUAUAUAUAUAUAUAUGUAUGUCACGUGGUUGUAAAUUCAUUCUCGUUUACAGCGACAUUAAAUGGUACACUUAUUACCCACUUAUUUCAACAAUCC
Long non-coding RNA from Gasterosteus aculeatus aculeatus (three-spined stickleback), 12187 nucleotides. The record is from Ensembl. Lineage: Eukaryota; Metazoa; Chordata; Actinopteri; Perciformes; Gasterosteidae.